GACGAACGCUGGCGGCGCGCCUAACACAUGCAAGUCGAACGAGCGAGAGAGAGCUUGCUUUCUCAAGCGAGUGGCGAACGGGUGAGUAACGCGUGAGGAACCUGCCUCAAAGAGGGGGACAACAGUUGGAAACGACUGCUAAUACCGCAUAAGCCCACGACCCGGCAUCGGGUAGAGGGAAAAGGAGCAAUCCGCUUUGAGAUGGCCUCGCGUCCGAUUAGCUAGUUGGUGAGGUAAUGGCCCACCAAGGCGACGAUCGGUAGCCGGACUGAGAGGUUGAACGGCCACAUUGGGACUGAGACACGGCCCAGGACUCCUACGGGAGGCAGCAGUGGGGAAUAGUUGCACAAUGGGGGAAACCCUGAUGCAGCGACGCCGCGUGGAGGAAGAAGGUCUUCGGAUUGUAAACUCCUGUUGUUGAGGAAGAUAAUGACGGUACUCAACAAGGAAGUGACGGCUAACUACGUG
Molecule: ribosomal RNA, 468 nt
Filed under: uncultured bacterium
Lineage: Bacteria
Description: bacterial SSU rRNA
Rfam family: Bacterial small subunit ribosomal RNA
Source: RNAcentral